Molecule: ribosomal RNA, 347 nt
Filed under: Proteus mirabilis
Lineage: Bacteria; Pseudomonadati; Pseudomonadota; Gammaproteobacteria; Enterobacterales; Morganellaceae
Description: bacterial SSU rRNA
Rfam family: Bacterial small subunit ribosomal RNA
Source: RNAcentral
GCUUUCUUGCUGACGAGCGGCGGACGGGGGAGUAAUGUAUGGGGAUCUGCCCGAUAGAGGGGGAUAACUACUGGAAACGGUGGCUAAUACCGCAUAAUGUCUACGGACCAAAGCAGGGGCUCUUCGGACCUUGCACUAUCGGAUGAACCCAUAUGGGAUUAGCUAGUAGGUGGGGUAAAGGCUCACCUAGGCGACGAUCUCUAGCUGGUCUGAGAGGAUGAUCAGCCCCACUGGGACUGAGACCCGGCCCAGACUCCUACGGGAGGCGCAGUGGGGAAUAUUGUACAAUGGGCGCAAGCCUGAUGCCUCCAUGCCGCGUGUAUGAAGAAGGCCUUAGGGUUGUAAAA